UUUUCUAUCCUACAUACUAAUGUGGAUGAAAAUAUGAAAAUGUGAAUCUAUGUUUGUUGUUUAUGUAAAUGAUGUUAUCUUGCCAUAAAUGAUUUGUUUUAUGCCUAUCUGUUUGGUUGGAAUGUAAGAAUCGAAUUCGGGUCCAAGUGAGGGUGGUGUCCCUACUCGGAUUAGUGUACACAAGUGGCCGUGAAAGGUGGCCACCUUCCACGGGUCACAAAUAAAGUUAUGGAGGCCGUGGGAGGUGGCCACCUCCCCGGCUGGAGAAAAAGGUAGGUGACCGUGAGAGAGCACCAUCUCCACGGCACUUGGUGUUCAGAUAUGGCAAACGUAUAAAAAGAACUUAGACUGAUCAGUCGAACUUUAGCUCACAAAGAAUUUAGUUGAGCAGUGACGGUGGAGAAUGCUGAGCAAAGUUGAUGAUUUCUUUUUUUUAUUUUAAGUAGAGGCUCUCAGUGGUGCAUGUCUCCAUACAUGUUACCGUAUUCAUUCCGCUGCUUAUUGUUCUUCUAUACUCCGAUAAAUAAUUAUUGAAUACUAAGAUUUUCAUUCAA
Molecule: long non-coding RNA, 554 nt
Organism: Salvia hispanica
Lineage: Eukaryota; Viridiplantae; Streptophyta; Magnoliopsida; Lamiales; Lamiaceae
Source: RefSeq, a predicted model, not a curated record